AAAAAUGUUUGCUUCUUUCCUCAAUAUUUUUACUAAAAAGGCAUUUGACUCUAAUGUUUGGGUUGGCACUCUAGUAGAGGGAAGGGUAGUCAAAUUUUAGCAUAAUCCUAUAAUGCAUCAAUGAGCCUUAAUCUGUGACGCAUGAAUACCUUUACAUACCUUGAUACUCAUCCACGUAUUCUGGAAACAGAUACAUGUAUAAUUACAGUGAAGAGAGGAAUUCUACCAUUAAACUUGUUAACAAUAGAAACAGAAUGGAUAGACAGACAUAGAAAAACAGAAAUAGAAUUGAUUAUGCAGUUCAUUCCGAGAGCGUCCAGAAAAGUCUAAGGUAAAAGGCAAACACUAAAGCCACUGCCUAAUGAAAGAACCUUCAAUAUAAGGAGUGGGAUGGAGCGGGAUGAGGUAGACGCUCAUGUGUAAAAAUGGAGAUGUGGACAUGGAGCUGCUAAAGUGACAAGCAGGCAGCAAUUACCUUUUCAGACAGCCAGGAUGCCAAGCUAUUUUAUAAAUGGCCAAAAACCAUAAAAGCCUCUUUUGAUGGAGGCCAAAGUAAUACAUAUAACCAUUGGAUGAAACAUAAGAUGCUGAUUUGCUGUCUGUUUCAGCGUUUAAAAGGAUGACAGCAUAGUGAAGUCAACACUGGUAACGGAUAGC
RNAcentral lists this long non-coding RNA (657 nucleotides) under Bos taurus (domestic cattle). Its description in RNAcentral is "long non-coding RNA NONBTAT011732". Lineage: Eukaryota; Metazoa; Chordata; Mammalia; Artiodactyla; Bovidae. The record is from RNAcentral.